UCCGCCUGGUAUAUAAGGGCCGAAUGGCCCGGCAGGCUACAGAGCGCGGAGCCGGCGCGGGUGCGCGGUGCGGCGCUGGUAGCCUGAGGACGCGGCCACCGAGGCUGGCAUUUCUUGUUCUGCGCUUCUCCCCAAGGACCCUAUGCUAGGCAGGCGCCCACCGUAAGCCUUCCGGGCCUUGUGAACCUGCAAACCCAAGUCCCAGAGACGAUCCGCCUUCGGCGCUUUCCGGCUUGGCAGAGGGGUUUUCCUGGCGGGGAUCUUUGGUUCGCGCUGGCGAUGCGCGGGGAAGAAAGGCGAGGAGCGGCGUCCGGGCUGGGUGCUGUCCCAGCGCGAGGAGGCGGGAUGCGCUCGCGGGGUCCGCGGGGCGCCCAGUCCCCGCCGCCCUCGUCGCGCGCCCACCCCUGGGGAAGAGAAUGCGGCCGCUUGGGGACCCCCGCCCGCGACCUCCGCGAGUCUGGAGCGCAGAGGACAGGGUCUGGACCAGGCGCUUUGGCCUUGGAUGGAAAGUGGGGAAUUGGGUGGGGGGCUGCGGACCCCUUAACGUGGAUUACUUGGUGUGUAUCAGCUGGGCUCAGAAGACCCACGACCUCCUCUGCGUCCGUGGAUUGAUUCGUUCUACUUAACAGCUGGGUCGCCAAGCUGGAGGUAUUUUUCCCUUUCCGCCCUGGUCUUCUCCUGUAGCGUGUGGCAGCCUUUUCCAGCAUGGCCUCCUGCGUUCCUGGUGCACUUUUUGGAGAAGGUGGCGGAAUCAGAGGUUUCUGGCUGACUCGGUGGGUGCUUUGUACCAGGAAAGACAAGAAAGAGGAUGGGAAGGAGGACUGAUCCACGUUCCCACCAGGAAGCUUAGUGGAACCCCCGUAUGCCACCUGGACCCCCUGGAAGGACCUGGCCAAGGCUGAACCACCUCUUGAGAGGCAAGAGCUCCAAAUUUGAUCAGAAAUUCUUGGCUGGGCAUGGUGCCUCAUGCCUAUAAUCCCAACACUUUGGGAAACCGAGGUGAGAGGAUCGCUUGAGCCUGGGAGUUCAAGACCAGCCUGGGCAACAUAAGGAGACCCCAUCUCUAAAGAAUAGUAAUAAUAAAAUAAAAAAUUAGCAGGGCAUGGUGGCAUGUGCCUGUAGUCCCAGCUACCCAGGAGGCUGAGGCAAGAGGAUGUAUGGAGCCUGGGACGUUGAGGCUGCAAUGAACUGUGAUUACCCCACUGCACUCCAGCCUGGGCAACAGAGCGAGAGACCCUGUCUCAAAAUAAUACUAAUAAUAAUCUUAUUUUGGAGAAUAAAGAAACCUUUGGAUUUGAGGAGCCAUUUGGGUAGAAAGCAAAGACCUUCACAAUGAGAAAUAGUCUGUGUUGACCUGAAGGAGCAGAGGGAUGCAUCGCUGGAGGUGACCUACAGUUGGAGAAGACUCAUUAUGCCAGACCUUGUCCUUCUUCCUUGUGGAAAAUGUUUCCUCUGCUGCUGCUGCUCAUGAGACUCUUCCCCCUCCCUGUCUCAGGCAACCAAAGGGCUUUCUACCACACCCUUUCUUGCCCCCCGCCUCCCAUGUCUGCUGUGCCUUUGUACUCAGCAAUUCUUGUUUGCUCCAUUAUCUUCCAGCCGGAUACAGAGUGAAUAGUUAACCACACUUAGGUCAAAUAGGAUCUGAAUUUUUGUUCCUGCUCCGUCUAAAGAGGCCAGUGUUUGUGCGUUGCAAGCAGCCUUGGAAUAGUAACUCUUCUCAUUUGUUUGGGAUCUCAUUGUAUUCCUCAGCCAUCAAGUUCCAGAAUGAUACACGGAUCAGUGCAGAAGUUCAUCAGGCUCUCGGACCUUAGGGCUGUUGGAGAAGGCUUCAGCAAGGGAACUGAUGGUGAAGGCUGGUGUUCUCCAUCCUCAACUUUCUUUGCUUGGAUCACACAUAAGUAUACAUUUGGAAGGGCAAAAAAUGAACACUGUUGUUCAUUGCAGCCGUGUUUUGUGACACAGAUGCACAGUCUGCUGUGAAGACCUUCUCGCAAGUGGCAGUUGGGGGUCCAUGCCAGAUCAUGGUGCUUCGUGACAGACUAACAGCUACUAGGGAUGGUGGCACUUAGUGAGGACACUCCUCCCCCAGUGUGUGCUGAUGACACAUACACACCUGACAAUAACUUGAGUCUUCUCUGUUCUUUUUUACUCUGUGGCCACCAUACACAUGAUUUAAAACCCUUCCUAAAUAUCUAUCAUGGUUCACCCUUGUCCAAAUGCAGAGUCAGAGCUACUUGUACUUUAUUAUUAUUUCCAAGGCAAAUAGAUGGCUUGCUUUUUACAAAAAGAAUUAAAGCUUUUGUAUGUUGCAGUUG
Molecule: long non-coding RNA, 2315 nt
Organism: Mandrillus leucophaeus (drill)
Lineage: Eukaryota; Metazoa; Chordata; Mammalia; Primates; Cercopithecidae
Exons: 4
Source: RefSeq, a predicted model, not a curated record